CAAGGUCUAGGGAAACAAUAAAAAGAUUCGGAGCUCACCACUUGACGAAAGGGAGGGGGCUGGCGCUUGGGCUUUCAUUCAUGGAGAACAAAAGAAAAAGGGGAAGCUGCUGCUGCAGAAUUAGAGGAGGGCUACUGCUCCACGGAAGAACAGAGAGGAGGCUGGGCACAGAGGGAGGGCGAGCAGGGGAAGGAGGUGCCAUGGCUGCUGGCGUGGGGAGAAACCAGGGAGCAGAGAGGGGCUGGGCGAGCUCAGUUUGGGGAGGAAGAUGAGGGAGGGGCGGCCAUGGAAACCUAGGGCAGUGGAGGGAGCUCACCAUGGAAGAAGCUGCAGACGGCCAUGGGAAGGAAGCACGGCGUGCUUGCAGCUGACAUGGGGAGGGACUCGGCUGGUGCAGCGGCCAUGGAGGCGAGGAGAUGGCUGGGCGAGCAGGGAGGGCGCGGCUGGCGAGCUGGAGCCGGGGAGAAACCAGAGCAAGGACAGCCGGCGUGGAGGCUAAGGCCGUCGGCCUGGGAAGAAGAUGGCGUGUAGGAGUUUGGUUGGGACGUGGCUGAUAAGCUUUGCAUCCUGGGCAUGCUGCGUAUGGCUGAGUGGAUGAGCUACGGUGGUUUCCAGGGAACAAACGUGUCUGAUGCUCAGAACAAUAAAGGGUGUGGUGGUUGAGGUUAAAAUCGAAGAAAUAUCUUCAUUCUCUUUUCCUCCACCAAGCAAUAUCUAAUUUACUCCACGAUUCUUAUUUUUGCACACCAACUAAUCCUAGAUUUAAAUCUUAAGACUAUGGCACAACUCGAUUUGAAUUUAAACUACCAAAGUUUUGAAUAGUUAGUAUUUGUCUAAAUUUUAAAUCCAAACAUACGCUAGUCUGAGUUAAUGUGGCACGAGCCACAAAAACCUAACAUAAGUUCUUGCGUUACGAUUUAGACGAAAAACAAAUAGACCGGAUUAAAACGAAAUUUAGGCUACACAUAAUAAAUUUUCAUAGCUACUGAAACAGAUUAAUUAUGAAUACUGGGUCCUGGCAGUAAUUAUCUCAGCCCUAUUUAAUUUUGCAUCAAUAUUGUUAUCGUCGAGUUCUAAUAAUAUUUGCUUGGGCCAAAAUCGCAAGAGUGAGUCGAGAUUCCAAAUUCAUGUUCUCUUAAUCCUUAAAUUUUGAAUAGACACCAGACUCGACAUAUCGCGAAAUAAAUACGCGAGAUCGAUGUGGCAUCGAAAUUGUGAUCCUUUCGGAAGCGAUGUCACGCAUCGUUCACGGGGCGAGAGGUUGGGCGCUGUCCAGACGCCGGUUAGCACCCGCCACACGCGUCACGAUGUCAGGCCACAGAGAGACACGUGCAACGCAAGCGUGAAAGAAUUUCAAAUGCAGUUUAAGAAACUAGAUCCGAUUUCCAGAAUUAAAGUUUGGGCAAGACGUUGAUGGCUUAACCCAAACGAUACUGGAUUCGAUGUUCCGAAAAUUACUGAAGUCUGAAUUUUUGCGAAAUAAUUUAGGACAAUUUAAACAGAUGGAGACAGACACGAUAUCGAAAUCGUGAUCGGCGAAGAUGAUUAAAAUUUAGUGUCCAUUUUAUUCACCGCUAUCACAUGUUAAAGUCUGCGCUCGUGGUCGAGCAGACGAUAAACACCUGGGGUGUUACAACCCUCCCCCUUAAAAGAAUCUCGUCCCGAGAUUCGGAACGAAAGACUUUUAAGAGUAGAGAAGCAUGUGACCCUUGUCCAUAUCAGCGAUAGCAUACAACUACUUUGGGAUGAAUCCAAUAUCACAUUCUUAAACAAGAGAUCACGCAUUUGGGUAGAAAUCCAUUUGGUCAUGUUGUUCAUCUGUUUCUUCAUGUGAGAUGAAAUGACAUGGUUUGGGAAUACAUAGAUUAAAUAAGAGAGUGAAUGAACAUACUCCUACAUCUCAGCAGCAGGGAAAAUCAAUUCCCCAUUUUGAAAACUAAUUAGCUGUCUUUCAACACUAAAAAGCUUCAAGGCUUCACCUUUACACAAAGGACGUAAAGGAAACUUGUAUGUGUAGUCACCACCAAAAUCAAGAGAAAAGAGACCACACAUGAAAGGGGUGAAUUUUUUUUAACACACGGUUAGACACAAAUAGGUUUUGAUUUUUGUUGGAGAUUUCUGAAUGGGUAGAAAAUUUACCAAGGAAUACAUUAGAGUUAUACACUCUUUUGAUCCAACAGUGAUGGCAUAUGUUGCUUGAUUGUUGUAGAAAACAACACAAAAAUCGUUUCAAGGGAGGAGUCAACGGAAGAUCACACAUUAGUGUAGUUCCACAAUGGAUCAUGACCAAAGACCUCGAUACCAGCAUGCGCCAAGCAGCAUAACCUUGCGUGUACAUUCACAAGGGGCUCUCAGUUUCGUCGCGGCACCAAAAAUCAUUAAUCGUGACACCAUUACCGAAGUCGCACCAAUAAUGAAUCUCACGGCGUAAGAACAAAAGUAUGCAGAGAUGACAUAUCGAUAUAGUCUAAUAAUGGAUUACAACUACUAACUGUGAUACCAGCUCGUGCCAAGUAGCGCAACCAUGUGCUGAUCACCCACAGGAGGCCCUCGGUUUCGUCGCGGCACCAUCAAUUUUAGUCAUAACGCCAUUACCAGACGUAACCAAUAAGAAAUCUCAUGCGGCACAAAUAGACUGAGCCAGGGUGACAAUAUACAAAAUAGACUCCAUUAAGAAUGGUUACAAGUAGAGAGCCAAAUAGAUCAUGGACCGAUGAAACGAACAAGACAUGGUCAAGACCUAAAUCGGUUGAUGAAGGGAGUACGAUAAGAGACUGUUAAUUCAGCCCCAAGCAUAUUUCUAUGCCCAUCGCAAAGAUUACAAGGUCGAUGAUUAAUGUCAGAUUAGAUAUAGAGGGGACACAAUCAUAAGACUAAAUUGAGAAGCCUUAGAGAGAUAUGAGAAAUCGAAGGCAUUAAAUUCAAGAAAAUAAUUGGGCACUCCUUUCCUAGGUUGGACUGAGAAAGCAACAAGGUGAUCCUGAUGGAGAUGCAAACUGACAUAGAGAUAUCAGCUUGCACCAACCGAACAAAGGUAUGUUUUAGGAUGAAAAUAUGACCAUAAGAGCUACAAGUUGGCUGUUAAGAUCAGGGACUCGAGAUAUUUUUUUAAGUUUGAAUGCAUCAUAGGUCCAAUAAGGGAAUUACCUAAACAUCUUUUAUAUGAGCUUGAUCACAAAGUAACGACGAAAAAAAUUCAGACUCGUCCACGUUUGGAAACUGGGGAAAAAUUUCAAAGAAUUUACAUCGAUUUGGGUCAUGGCUCCUAGAUGAGGACAUGGCCUAAUUUUGAGUUUAUGCAAACAUACCACCAACAUUCUAUCGGCACACAGGCACAAAAAUAAACAUAAGUUGCACUAUCGGUCAAACUAAGAAGAACCACAGACCACAUAAACACAUGUCUAAAGGACACCUCAAAUAAAGCUAGAAAUUUGCUUAUAGGACAGUCAUACUUCAAACAUUUUCCAAUUAUUUAUUAUCGAAAUAAAGAUGAGAAAAGCAUAUUCGUUUACAACCACCAAUUAUUAGAAUAAGGGCAAGAGAAGCAUAUUUGUGCACAAACAACAAACACAAUGCAACAAUCAGGAUGCAUGCUCGUCCUAUUCGUCCUCACGAAUUUUGCCAACUUAAUGUGGCAAUAGCGUUCUAUAUCGGUGGCAUAUCUACGUUCUCUCUCGAUAUGUUGCUAGUCGUCAGCUACACAUACGAGUUCGAAGUUAGUGUACCUGCAGAAAAUUCCAUCACAGCCCAAUUCCCAAUGAUGCAAUUCACACAUGACAGUUUAUCACAGUUUAUACUCCAUAUAUUUCUAUAUGGAGGCCAGCUCAUCAUUAAGCGUCGAGCCACGCAUAGGCGCCGCUGCCACACUUUAACCAUAGGGCAGCCCAUUAUGGUAACUCACCUUCUUACCUGAGCGUAGGUGCGUCGUUGCAAAGACAUUACACUUCUCAGUAUUCUCAUGUCUGUAUACCCAUACACAUCCAUGGGGUACUGAAUCCCAAAAAGUAAAUACUCCACAUCGCAGCCUUCAUAUAUACAUAUGUAAAACAUGUAUAUAAUCAAGCGCUUUUUAUACUCUCCCCUAGACCGACGUUUGUUCAGUCAUGCUCUCACAUCUCACCUUACCUUGAGCGUCGAUCCAUUCAAAACUGAAUGGCCUCAAAAAAAUAACAUUACACAUGUAUGCAUUCCCAGGUUGUGGGUUAGUAUUUUGAUCAAAGCCACCUGAUAGUCCUUAAUUUAGGGCUUAACAGAGGAUGUCACUAGCAUAAUAGUUUUUCAAAGCUAUUUUUCAAAGCCAAACAAUGUGUUUAGUUGAAAAUAGGUUUUCCAAAACCAAAAUCUUUGUUUUGAAAAUACGUAUGUGACCGUAUUAUACUUAAUCACGCUCCGAUACCAGCUGUCGCAGAACCUCCCAAGUUAUCGGGCCCACAUGCACCUGUCCUUGUCUCAAAGACCUCAGACAGCUAUGCAUGUGCACCAAACAACUUAACAGGAUCUGUCCGAGUGCCCCGAGGACCCCGGAUAAACGACUUACCGCCAAGAUCGCAAGAUUAAGUAAACACAAAUCACACACCAUCAUUUGCAGCGGAAAUAAAUUCUUUAUUGCAAAAUGAUUACAUGUUACAAUAAGUUUACAUUAUACAAUUAUCGGAGUGAUUACAAAAGAAAGUGAUUCAAAAGAAUUAUAAUUUAAAAUGUAUAAAAUAUUUAUAGUUUUUAAAAUACAUGCUAACUUAAGUGACAAUCCUCAAUAAAGAAGCUAAAGAUGGGAUAUACUUAUAUAAGAAGGCCGAGCCCAUCGGCACUUAGCACCAUCCACAACAGAACAAAAUUUCAACCUGAAAAACAACAGGGAAUAAAACCCUGAGUACGCAAUUACUCAGCAAGACUUACCCGACUAAAGAAAAGACUCUCAAGGGUAUGCUGGUUUGUCGGGAAUUAAGGUAAAGCUUAUCGAAUUUCAAAGACACGUUUUCGCAGAAAAGCUUACUAGUAGUGGAUCCUUAUGCCAAACUUUUACUUCACAAAUUAAGUAUUUUUCCUGAAUUUAGAUUUGCCUAAUCUAGAGCAUUCACUUGUCCUACACUAGCUUCAUUUUAGCAGCUUUAGUUUCACUUGUUAUCUACGAUGCAGGGCAGUGAUCCAGUCUUCAUAUCCGAGAAGUAACGGCGAUCCGAAUCGAUUAAUACUCAGCUGAGGAUCUCCAACCACACGACAUAUGUAGCACUUAACCCUUGCAUAUGUCAACUCGCCCAUGGGUUUCUCAAGACCAGAACGGGUUCACGCGACCUGAGAGCACAGCACUCCACCGUCCAGUCAUUGGCCUGGUUGGUACACGUUACUCUCGCCAUGGUGCCCGCCAUGUUUCCAAGAGUACAGCACCCCACCUUCCAGCCGUUGGCCUAGUUGGUACACGUUACUCUCGCCAUGGUGCCCGCCAUGUUUCCGAGAGUACAGCACCCCACCUUCCAGUCUCUUGCCACGGAGGGUACAAGCUACUCUCGCCAUCUCUCCACUCCCAGUGCGUGCGAGCUGUUCUGGUAUUGGUCCGACCGAGGCAAAGCUUACCCAUGAUGAGGCAUGUGGCCAGUUAAAGGGUCCUAGAUCAGCAGGCCAACAAUCAGAACGGUCCUUAAGCGACACAGACGGGCGACCUUUCCUGCUCAACGUCUGGUCUCAUCUUAUUAUUUAACACCCAAACCAUGUACCUGACAGAGGUACCAUACUUGAAUGAUGAAUUCAUCACUGCAGAUGAUGCGCUCACCAUUACAAGUCCUUUUUCAUAAAACAAACCCAUACCCAGUGUCACACAUCAUUCUUUUAAAAAGAAACAAGUUUUAAUUCUCUAGGCAGGGCUAAGCCUCAUUAGUUCUUUUUGUAAAACAGGUAUCAAGGAGGAUAAUCAAAUUCCAAGGAAUGGCAAUGCAUCAACUGUUUCAUCACUCAACUCCUAUCACCUAAUGCAGCAUAUAAGUGAUAAAAGUUUUAAAACAACAAGGAGGUGGCAAAUGCACCGGGGCUUGCCUGAAAUAAACACUAUGUUAGUGUUGUUAGAUGAAGGCCACUUGACGAUCAACUUUCGUUUUGACAUCCGCUUAGUCCAUCCAUCUUCAGGCUCAUUGGCCGACAUCGUCUUGUGGGUUGUUUUGAUCCACACCCUUCGCUUCGCACGAUUUUCAGCUAGCGUACCUAAUUAGAUGUACAAUGCACAUGUAUAAACAUAAGGAAGAAUAACACAACAUAUUACACACAAUAAAGAAUUAAGCACAAUGACGAGACGCUGCAACACUUGUGAGAAAAUACUAGAUGCCAACAAAUGACUAAGUACAACAAGGACGGCCAUGGGUUCUAACCCAAACAUCGAGAAACUUUAAACGAAUACAAGUCCUAUCGUACUUAGGUAGAGUAUAAUACAAAAGAUUCAUCCGAUUAAAUUCACUAUAACUAGCUUCUAGGACUAACAUAUGGAGAGAAGCAAACUAACACAUUUAACAUAAUUAACCUAAACAGACUUAUCAGUUAAUUAUUGAAAUGCUACAUUUAUUUCUCGCAUUAUUAUUGAUACCACACAUCGCUCGUGCAGAACUAAUUUAAUUUUUACUUCAUAUUACUAAUUUCACCAUACUUACACAAAUCUGAAUAGUCGCAACUCAUUUACAUUCACCAAAGUAUUUACCUCCUCCUUAAUUCAAUCAAGUCUAAAGCAAACAUUUAGAAAGAAUGAACUGACCAUAUAUAAUAAAGAAUUUGGAUAAACACUUCACAUGCAACAAGUUUUCAUCAAUCAAGGAUCAAGGAUUGACUAAUCCUUCCCAGGCAAACAAAAAUGACACCAAGGAAUCAGUUUAACACAUGCAGAUUUUCUAGACAGCAGCACAGUGGUUAACUGUUUUAUUCAUAACUUACACAAUACUCAUCCAAAAAUAGUAAACUAAGACUUUUUGAAAAGAUUAUAAAGUCCUCUACAAUUUUGGUAUUAUCAUCACAGUGAGAUUCGACAUAUAGAAAUAUCAAACAGUACUAAACGCAAUUUCUGUCCAGAUUUGGACAGAAUUCGACUACUCGCUUCAAAAAUCCAUAACCGGAGUUUCAGAAAUCCAAAUCAGGUGAUCCUAGACUUUUUAGAAAGCUAGUAGAAUUGUCUACAAUUUAUUUGUAAACAUCUCAGGGUGAUUCAAUGUGUAUCGAAGUCAGUUAAUACAAACAAACAUAGCUGUCCAGAUUUGGACAGAUUCAGACAUCACAUUUCAAAUAGCCAUAACCUGACUUCUAGAUCACCAAAAAGGGUGAUCCAAAUUUUGUUGGGAGGCUUAAGAAAAGUACUAAAAUUCUUCUAUAAUUACUAAAGACUGGUUCUCAUUUUAACUUAGCCAAAAAAUACAAUUUUCGAAACCUGUCCAGAAUUGGGACAGAUUCUGAAACUGGACUUGGAAAAAUCAUAACUCCUAAACUACUAGUCCUAUGGUUAUGAAAUUUUAGCACAAGUAAGAUGAAGAGGUUAGCUACAACUUUUCUAUAUAACACUUUCACAGAAAACAUGAUUUACUUCACUCAAUUAGUUGCACAAUCAAAACUGUACGUGCAGGUUUGGACAGCAAUACCGUCAUCACUUAUUUUAACCAUAACCAUGAAUACAAUCAUGUCACUAUCCACGAAGAGGUAUCACCACUAACUCAUGAUGCAUAUAUAUUCACCAAACACAUCUAUUCAAUUCAUCUAACAAUUCAAUCAAUACUAAUAAUGAAUUAGCUUACCAACACUAAAUAGACUCAGAUUUCGCAAGAGCAACAAGGAUCUUCGGUUCAUCCAUUCCAUCAAACACCUAGAGCGCGUCGAACUGAAACACGGUUUCUUCUCCAUUGAUUUUCCCUAGAACUCUCUUCCAAUCUCACACACAAACACAUAGAGUUUCACAAGCGUCAUGACAUGGACAACAAACUGAAAUCAAAAUACAACACGCAAGGUCUAGGGAAACAAUAAAAAGAUUCGGAGCUCACCACUUGACAAAAGGGAGGGGGCUGGCGCUUGGGCUUUCAUUCAUGGAGAACAAAAGAAAAAGGGGAAGCUGCUGCUGCAGAAUUAGAGGAGGGCUACUGCUCCACGGAAGAACAGAGAGGAGGCUGGGCACAGAGGGAGGGCGAGCAGGGGAAGGAGGUGCCAUGGCUGCUGGCGUGGGGAGAAACCAGGGAGCAGAGAGGGGCUGGGCGAGCUCAGCUUGGGGAGGAAGAUGAGGGAGGGGCGGCCAUGGAAACCUAGGGCACUGGAGGGAGCUCACCAUGGGAGAAGCUGCAGACGGCCAUGGGAAGGAAGCACGGCGUGCUUGCAGCUGACAUGGGGAGGGACUCGGCUGGUGCAGCGGCCAUGGAGGCGAGGAGAUGGCUGGGCGAGCAGGGAGGGCGCGGCUGGCGAGCUGGAGCCGGGGAGAAACCAGAGCAAGGACAGCCGGCGUGGAGGCUAAGGCCGUCGGCCUAGGAAGAAGAUGGCGUGUAGGAGUUUGGUUGGGACGUGGC
Molecule: long non-coding RNA, 8513 nt
Filed under: Zea mays
Lineage: Eukaryota; Viridiplantae; Streptophyta; Magnoliopsida; Poales; Poaceae
Description: long non-coding RNA (ZMAY_LNC003102)
Source: RNAcentral